This 252-nucleotide ribosomal RNA is filed under the name uncultured bacterium. RNAcentral's name for it is "partial 16S ribosomal RNA". It matches the Rfam family "Bacterial small subunit ribosomal RNA", at positions 524 to 776 of the family's 1533-position model. The record is from RNAcentral.
UACGGAGGAUGCGAGCGUUAUCCGGAUUUAUUGGGUUUAAAGGGUGCGUAGGCGGGAUGCCAAGUCAGCGGUAAAAAUGCGGUGCUCAACGCCGUCGAGCCGUUGAAACUGGCGUUCUUGAGUGGGCGAGAAGUAUGCGGAAUGCGUGGUGUAGCUGUGAAAUGCAUAGAUAUCACGCAGAACUCCGAUUACGAGGGCAGCAUACCGGCGCCCUACUGACGCUGAGGCACGAAAGCGUGGGAAUCGAACAGG